Molecule: non-coding RNA, 28 nt
Filed under: Mus musculus (house mouse)
Lineage: Eukaryota; Metazoa; Chordata; Mammalia; Rodentia; Muridae
Source: RNAcentral
UGAUAAAGUGAGAACCACACCCCAGACA